GUUUCUUCAAAACUCUGUUUCGCACUUUCCUUCCAUUUUUGUACGUUUCCUUUUCCAUCCUUUAAGUCAUUCUGCCUUAGAAAAUCUGAAACUACUCAACACACUAAUCACGGCAUCGAAUGGAAAUAAAGGUAAUUAAAAUAAUUAAUUUUAAAGCUUAGGAAACAUGUUUUUCACAUACAUCACAUAAUAAGGAAGGGAAAGUAAAACCAUGCAAUUAAUAUGAAUAAGUGGGUGAAGGAUUGAAUAAAUCACUUAAACUAAGCACAAAAUAACUCAUGAAAUAUGGGUUUA
RNAcentral lists this long non-coding RNA (294 nucleotides) under Arachis ipaensis. RNAcentral's name for it is "long non-coding RNA (AIPA_LNC002444)". Lineage: Eukaryota; Viridiplantae; Streptophyta; Magnoliopsida; Fabales; Fabaceae. The record is from RNAcentral.